RNAcentral lists this ribosomal RNA (468 nucleotides) under uncultured bacterium. RNAcentral's name for it is "partial 16S ribosomal RNA". It matches the Rfam family "Bacterial small subunit ribosomal RNA", at positions 28 to 507 of the family's 1533-position model. The record is from RNAcentral.
GACGAACGCUGGCGGCGUGCUUAACACAUGCAAGUCGAACGGAAAGGCCCUGCUUUUUUGGGGUGCUCGAGUGGCGAACGGGUGAGUAACACGUGAGUAACCUGCCCUUGACUUUGGGAUAACUUCAGGAAACUUGGGCUAAUACCUGAUAGGCGCUCCUGCUGCACGGUUGGGGUUGGAAAGUUUAGGCGGUUGGGGAUGUACUCGCGGCUUAUCAGAUUUUUGGUGGGGUAGUGGCUUACCAAGGAUUUGACGGGUAGACGGCGUGAGAGGGUGAACGGCGAGAUGAGGAUGGAGAUACGGACCAGACUGGAACGGGAGGCAGCAGUGGGAAAUAGUGCACAAUGGGAGGAAGCGAGAUGGAGCAACGCGGCGUGCGGGAAGACGGCAUUCGGGUUGUAAAGAGAUUUGGUCUGAGAAGAAGCGUGAGUGACGGUAAUGGGUAAAGAAGCACCGGCUAACUACGUG